AAAUUGAAGAGUUUGAUCAUGGCUCAGAUUGAACGCUGGCGGCAGGCCUAACACAUGCAAGUCGAACGGUAACAGGAAGCAGCUUGCUGCUUUGCUGACGAGUGGCGGACGGGUGAGUAAUGUCUGGGAAACUGCCUGAUGGAGGGGGAUAACUACUGGAAACGGUGGCUAAUACCGCAUAACGUCGCAAGACCAAAGAGGGGGACCUUCGGGCCUCUUGCCAUCAGAUGUGCCCAGAUGGGAUUAGCUUGUUGGUGAGGUAACGGCUCACCAAGGCGACGAUCCCUAGCUGGUCUGAGAGGAUGACCAGCCACACUGGAACUGAGACACGGUCCAGACUCCUACGGGAGGCAGCAGUGGGGAAUAUUGCACAAUGGGCGCAAGCCUGAUGCAGCCAUGCCGCGUGUAUGAAGAAGGCCUUCGGGUUGUAAAGUACUUUCAGCGGGGAGGAAGGUGUUGCGGUUAAUAACCGCAGCAAUUGACGUUACCCGCAGAAGAAGCACCGGCUAACUCCGUGCCAGCAGCCGCGGUAAUACGGAGGGUGCAAGCGUUAAUCGGAAUUACUGGGCGUAAAGCGCACGCAGGCGGUCUGUCAAGUCGGAUGUGAAAUCCCCGGGCUCAACCUGGGAACUGCAUUCGAAACUGGCAGGCUUGAGUCUUGUAGAGGGGGGUAGAAUUCCAGGUGUAGCGGUGAAAUGCGUAGAGAUCUGGAGGAAUACCGGUGGCGAAGGCGGCCCCCUGGACAAAGACUGACGCUCAGGUGCGAAAGCGUGGGGAGCAAACAGGAUUAGAUACCCUGGUAGUCCACGCCGUAAACGAUGUCUACUUGGAGGUUGUGCCCUUGAGGCGUGGCUUCCGGAGCUAACGCGUUAAGUAGACCGCCUGGGGAGUACGGCCGCAAGGUUAAAACUCAAAUGAAUUGACGGGGGCCCGCACAAGCGGUGGAGCAUGUGGUUUAAUUCGAUGCAACGCGAAGAACCUUACCUGGUCUUGACAUCCACGGAAGUUUUCAGAGAUGAGAAUGUGCCUUCGGGAACCGUGAGACAGGUGCUGCAUGGCUGUCGUCAGCUCGUGUUGUGAAAUGUUGGGUUAAGUCCCGCAACGAGCGCAACCCUUAUCCUUUGUUGCCAGCGAUUAGGUCGGGAACUCAAAGGAGACUGCCAGUGAUAAACUGGAGGAAGGUGGGGAUGACGUCAAGUCAUCAUGGCCCUUACGACCAGGGCUACACACGUGCUACAAUGGCGCAUACAAAGAGAAGCGACCUCGCGAGAGCAAGCGGACCUCAUAAAGUGCGUCGUAGUCCGGAUUGGAGUCUGCAACUCGACUCCAUGAAGUCGGAAUCGCUAGUAAUCGUGGAUCAGAAUGCCACGGUGAAUACGUUCCCGGGCCUUGUACACACCGCCCGUCACACCAUGGGAGUGGGUUGCAAAAGAAGUAGGUAGCUUAACCUUCGGGAGGGCGCUUACCACUUUGUGAUUCAUGACUGGGGUGAAGUCGUAACAAGGUAACCGUAGGGGAACCUGCGGUUGGAUCACCUCCUUACCUGAAAGAA
Molecule: ribosomal RNA, 1552 nt
Filed under: Salmonella enterica subsp. enterica serovar Newport str. CDC 2012K-0938
Lineage: Bacteria; Pseudomonadati; Pseudomonadota; Gammaproteobacteria; Enterobacterales; Enterobacteriaceae
Also listed under: 1 other name
Description: bacterial SSU rRNA
Rfam family: Bacterial small subunit ribosomal RNA
Source: RNAcentral